This 266-nucleotide ribosomal RNA is filed under the name uncultured bacterium. RNAcentral's name for it is "partial 16S ribosomal RNA". The record is from RNAcentral.
CUGCUGCCUUCCGUAGGAGUCUGGUCCGUGUCUCAGUACCAGUGUGGGGGACCUUCCUCUCAGAACCCCUAGACAUCGUCGCCUUGGUGGGUCGUUACCCCGCCAACAAGCUAAUGUCACGCAUGCCCAUCCGUCUCCGGAGUCGCCUCCUUUGGCCGAAAGAAGAUGCCUCCCCUCGGCCACAUGCGGUAUUAGGCCGGAUUUCUCCGGGUUAUCCCGCUGAAACGGGCAGGUUGCAUGCGCGUUACUCACCCGUGCGCCGGUCG